This 483-nucleotide ribosomal RNA is filed under the name uncultured bacterium. Its description in RNAcentral is "partial 16S ribosomal RNA". It matches the Rfam family "Bacterial small subunit ribosomal RNA", at positions 30 to 506 of the family's 1533-position model. The record is from RNAcentral.
AUUGAACGCUGGCGGCAGGCCUAACACAUGCAAGUCGAGCGGAUGAAGGGAGCUUGCUCCUGGAUUCAGCGGCGGACGGGUGAGUAAUGCCUAGGAAUCUGCCUGGUAGUGGGGGAUAACGUCCGGAAACGGGCGCUAAUACCGCAUACGUCCUGAGGGAGAAAGUGGGGGAUCUUCGGACCUCACGCUAUCAGAUGAGCCUAGGUCGGAUUAGCUAGUUGGUGGGGUAAAGGCCUACCAAGGCGACGAUCCGUAACUGGUCUGAGAGGAUGAUCAGUCACACUGGAACUGAGACACGGUCCAGACUCCUACGGGAGGCAGCAGUGGGGAAUAUUGGACAAUGGGCGAAAGCCUGAUCCAGCCAUGCCGCGUGUGUGAAGAAGGUCUUCGGAUUGUAAAGCACUUUAAGUUGGGAGGAAGGGCAGUAAGUUAAUACCUUGUUGUUUUGACGUUACCAACAGAAUAAGCACCGGCUAACUUCGU